UACGUAGGGGGCAAGCGUUGUCCGGAAUCAUUGGGCGUAAAGAGCGCGUAGGCGGCCCGAUAAGUCCGCUGUGAAAGUCAAGGGCUCAACCCUUGAAUGCCGGUGGAUACUGUCGGGCUAGAGUCCGGAAGAGGCGAGUGGAAUUCCUGGUGUAGCGGUGAAAUGCGUAGAUAUCAGGAGGAACACCGGUGGUGUAGACGGCUUUCUGGACCGUAACUGACGCUGAGACACGAAAGCGUGGGUAGCAAACAGG
Molecule: ribosomal RNA, 253 nt
Filed under: uncultured bacterium
Lineage: Bacteria
Description: partial 16S ribosomal RNA
Rfam family: Bacterial small subunit ribosomal RNA
Source: RNAcentral